GCAUAUCAAUAAGCGGAGGAAAAGAAACCAACAGGGAUUGCCCUAGUAACGGCGAGUGAAGCGGCAACAGCUCAAAUUUGAAAUCUGGCCUUCGGGUCCGAGUUGUAAUUUGUAGAGGAUGCUUUUGGUGCGGUGCCUUCCGAGUUCCCUGGAACGGGACGCCAUAGAGGGUGAGAGCCCCGUCUGGUUGGACACCAAUCCUCUGUAAAGCUCCUUCGACGAGUCGAGUAGUUUGGGAAUGCUGCUCUAAAUGGGAGGUAUAUGUCUUCUAAAGCUAAAUACCGGCCAGAGACCGAUAGCGCACAAGUAGAGUGAUCGAAAGAUGAAAAGCACUUUGAAAAGAGGGUUAAAUAGUACGUGAAAUUGUUGAAAGGGAAGCGCUUAUGACCAGACUUGAGCCCGGUUAAUCAUCCAGCCUUCUGGCUGGUGCACUUGGCCGGCUCAGGCCAGCAUCAGUUCGGCGCGGGGGAUAAAGGCUUCGGGAAUGUGGCUCCUCCGGGAGUGUUAUAGCCCGUUGUGUAAUACCCUGUACUGGACUGAGGUUCGCGCAUCUGCAAGGAUGCUGGCGUAAUGGUCAUCAGCGACCCGUCUUGAAACACGGACCAAGGAGUCGUCUUCGUAUGCGAGUGUUCGGGUGUCAAACCCCUACGCGUAAUGAAAGUGAACGCAGGUGAGAGCUUCGGCGCAUCAUCGACCGAUCCUGAUGUUCUCGGAUGGAUUUGAGUAAGAGCAUACGGAGCCGGACCCGAAAGAAGGUGAACUAUGCCUGUAUAGGGUGAAGCCAGAGGAAACUCUGGUGGAGGCUCGCAGCGGUUCUGACGUGCAAAUCGAUCGUCAAAUAUGGGCAUGGGGGGCGAAAGACUAAUCGAAGCUUCUAGUAGCUGGGUUUCCGCCGAAG
This 898-nucleotide ribosomal RNA is filed under the name Cosmospora berkeleyana. Its description in RNAcentral is "LSU rRNA". It matches the Rfam family "Eukaryotic large subunit ribosomal RNA", at positions 38 to 966 of the family's 3401-position model. The record is from RNAcentral. Lineage: Eukaryota; Fungi; Ascomycota; Sordariomycetes; Hypocreales; Nectriaceae.